RNAcentral lists this ribosomal RNA (303 nucleotides) under uncultured bacterium. RNAcentral's name for it is "partial 16S ribosomal RNA". It matches the Rfam family "Bacterial small subunit ribosomal RNA", at positions 507 to 807 of the family's 1533-position model. The record is from RNAcentral.
AGCAGCCGCCGCGGUAACACGGAGGAUCCAAGCGUUAUCCGGAAUCAUUGGGUUUAAAGGGUCCGUAGGCGGUCUUGUAAGUCAGUGGUGAAAGCCCAUCGCUCAACGGUGGAACGGCCAUUGAUACUGCAGGACUUGAAUUAUUGGGAAGUAACUAGAAUAUGUAGUGUAGCGGUGAAAUGCUUAGAGAUUACAUGGAAUACCAAUUGCGAAGGCAGGUUACUACCAAUUGAUUGACGCUGAUGGACGAAAGCGUGGGUAGCGAACAGGAUUAGAUACCCCUGUAGUCCCUGUCUCUUAUAC